RNAcentral lists this ribosomal RNA (519 nucleotides) under uncultured Glomus. Its description in RNAcentral is "SSU rRNA". It matches the Rfam family "Eukaryotic small subunit ribosomal RNA", at positions 569 to 1089 of the family's 1831-position model. The record is from RNAcentral. Lineage: Eukaryota; Fungi; Glomeromycota; Glomeromycetes; Glomerales; Glomeraceae.
AGCAGCCGCGGUAAUUCCAGCUCCAAUAGCGUAUAUUAAAGUUGUUGCAGUUAAAAAGCUCGUAGUUGAAUUUCGGGAUCAAUAUUUCGGUCAUGCCGUUGGUAUGCACUGUUAUCAUUGAUUUCUCACCUUCUAAAGAACCGUAAUGCCAUUAAUUUGGUGUUACGGGGAAUUAGGACUGUUACCUUGAAAAAUUAGAGUGUUUAAAGCGGGCUCACGCUUGAAUACAUUAGCAUGGAAUAAUGAAAUAGGACAUCCGAUUCUAUUUUGUUGGUUUCUAGGAUCGAUGUAAUGAUUAAUAGGGAUAGUUGGGGGCAUUAGUAUUCAAUUGUCAGAGGUGAAAUUCUUGGAUUUAUUGAAGACUAACUACUGCGAAAGCAUUUGCCAAGGAUGUUUUCAUUAAUCAAGAACGAAAGUUAGGGGAUCGAAGACGAUCAGAUACCGUCGUAGUCUUAACCAUAAACUAUGCCGACUAGGGAUCGGAUGAUGUUAAUUUUUUAAUGACUCAUUCGGCGUCCG